Molecule: ribosomal RNA, 300 nt
Filed under: uncultured bacterium
Lineage: Bacteria
Description: bacterial SSU rRNA
Rfam family: Bacterial small subunit ribosomal RNA
Source: RNAcentral
ACGUAGGGUGCAAGCGUUAAUCGGAAUUACUGGGCGUAAAGCGUGCGCAGGCGGUUUUGUAAGACAGAUGUGAAAUCCCCGGGCUUAACCUGGGAACUGCAUUUGUGACUGCAAGGCUAGAGUACGGCAGAGGGGGGUAGAAUUCCACGUGUAGCAGUGAAAUGCGUAGAUAUGUGGAGGAAUACCGAUGGCGAAGGCAGCCCCCUGGGUCGAUACUGACGCUCAUGCACGAAAGCGUGGGGAGCAAACAGGAUUAGAUACCCUGGUAGUCCACGCCCUAAACGAUGUCAACUAGGUGUU